RNAcentral lists this ribosomal RNA (467 nucleotides) under uncultured bacterium. Its description in RNAcentral is "partial 16S ribosomal RNA". It matches the Rfam family "Bacterial small subunit ribosomal RNA", at positions 28 to 506 of the family's 1533-position model. The record is from RNAcentral.
GACGAACGCUGGCGGCGUGCUUAACACAUGCAAGUCGAACGGAAAGGCCCUGCUUUUGUGGGGUGCUCGAGUGGCGAACGGGUGAGUAACACGUGAGUAACCUGCCCUUGACUUUGGGAUAACUUCAGGAAACUGGGGCUAUUACCGGAUAGGAGCUCCUGCUGCAUGGUGGGGGUUGGAAAGUUUCGGCGGUUGGGGAUGGACUCGCGGCUUAUCAGCUUGUUGGUGGGGUAGUGGCUUACCAAGGCUUUGACGGGUAGCCGGCCUGAGAGGGUGACCGGCCACAUUGGGCCUGAGAUACGGCCCAGACUCCUACGGGAGGCAGCAGUGGGGAAUAUUGCACAAUGGGCGGAAGCCUGAUGCAGCAACGCCGCGUGCGGGAUGACGGCCUUCGGGUUGUAAACCGCUUUCGCCUGUGACGAAGCGUGAGUGACGGUAAUGGGGAAAGAAGCACCGGCUAACUACGU